GAUCUUCUCAUUCCAGUUGACGGCAAUGAGACGAUUUGCAAUCACCCCCAAACAUCAAUCAUUAAAAUGUAAAUUUUCAAUUAAACAAAAAACCAUAUGACUAUGAUUCCGGUGAGCGGCAAUCAAAGUCUAUCAUAUAUAUAUGUGUGACAAAAUUGUCACCAAAUAAUUCAAUACAUACAAUAUUGUCCAAUCAAAUCAUUCAAUGUCCAUUCACAGGAACCAGACGAACAUUCUUCCACAUGGCAGAAAUGGUUACAAUAUUAACCAUUGAAGCCACCGCCACCAAGGGCGGGGGGGGGGGGGCUAAUUCCUGGAGCCAAGACCUUGCCACAAAAUACCCCGUCCAAAAGUUCUAGUAUAACUUUGGAUACACUUGCCAUCCAUUCGUUGUAAAUUGUUCUAACCCUGCACUAAUAUUGUUGAGAAAAAUUUCAUUGCCUAUAUUUCAUAUAUGGACCCCAUCUGCCUCAAAAAGCUUUGUGUUUACAUGUUUGAUACCCAAAUACUUGAUAUAACAUCCCACAUUCCUUACUAUAUAAGCCAACACUGAACUGUUGAUUUUUUUAGCAGAAUUAUUCAUUUUUUCUAUGCUAUUUGAUCUUUCUAGGCAAUAUUUAUGACCAUACUAGCUUCCCUUACCAAAAUGUAAAGUUUGCUGCAAAUUUGCCGCAAGUUUGCUGCAAGUUUGCGGCAAACAAAUCAGUGUGCCAGAGCUGUUUGCCAGAAGUGUGCAGCUAAUGCCGCUAGCGGCAUACAGUGUGCCACUAGCAGUACACAGUGUGCCACUAGUGGCACAGUGUGCCAAAAGUGCACCACAACUUUUCCUAAAUGAAACAGUGUGCCAGAAGUGCACCACAACUUUUUCUUUGGUAUUCAGAAUCAAAACUGUGUGCCAGAAGUGCACCACAACUUUUUCUUUGGUUUUCAGAAUCGUGUGCCAGAAGUUCACAACUUUUUUCUUAAAAUUUUAGAACUGAAACAGUAAGGGUACCAAAGUUCACGACUUUUUCUUGAAUAUUUAGAAUAAAAGAGCCAUAUCAAUAUAUCCAUCACAACAUUUUCUAUAAUAGAACAUAUGCAACAUUUCUCGCACCCCCUUCAAUCGAUCUUCUUGUCUUAAUGGGAAUUAGCGGUCAUUUUGUCACCAAAUAUUGAAUUCAAUGAAAGUUGCCCUAUAAUAGAUAUUAUAUAUUAAAGUAAUAAUUACACUUGUAUUUAAUUAUUUCAAACACCUUUUAACAUCUUGAAAAAGAAUAUGUGAUUUUGGUGAUUGAAUAUUAUUGUCUUGCGACACAGUAUAAUUAUUCUCUAGUUACCUUUGCAUAUUUGUUAAUUUUGUUUAUAUUUGAGAAAUGAUUUAAUUGGGGUGCAGUGAAUACUUCUUCCGUAUAUAUAUUUCUUUACAUUAAAAGCGGUUAUCUAACAUAGUUUUAUUAGGAUUAAUUUUCUUGUUUUUGUACAUAAUAAAAAAUAAAUGUUCUUAUUAGUCAUCAAUAUGUAUUUCAAUAUCAUCGAGAGAUUUUGAGAAAAAAAUAGUUGCCAUCACUUUCACAGCUAAUGCCCCUUUAAAGUAAGAUGUAAGUGCACAGGUAUCUGAAUUUUAAUCUAAUUAUUUCAAUUAUUUAUUGAUUCACCAAGCAUGUUGGCAUACAAUCAUGUUACACAAUAUGAGAUAUAUAAUGACAAUAAACUAAUUACUAACAGUUCAUUUACAUAUAUGUAAAUACAAGUAUAUAUUUGAUAUGUACCUGUGAUAUUAGACUAUGUAUACAAUUUAGUAUUGCAUAUUACAUAAAUUAAAUGUAGUUAUAGCACUCUACUUUUGGUGCGCAAUUCAAAACAUUCAUGUAAAAAUUAAAUGUAGUUAUAGCACUCUACUUUUGGUGCGGAAUUCAAAACAUUCAUGUAAAAAUUAAAAAACCUUCUAGCAUGAACUACAUUGACAGGGUUGCAUAGUACUUUACAAUGGUUUUCCUUUGAUAUAGCAUCGUGUGAAUUGUAGAUGUUCAAAGGGUAAUAGUUAAUUAGAAAAAAAAUGUGAAGAAUUUUUUUUUUUUAUAUCUAAAUAAAUGGAGAGAGAGAGAGAGAGAGAGAGAGAGAGAGAGAGAGAGAGAGAGAGAGAUUUCUUUUCUUUAUUUACAUGUAUAUCUGUUGAUUACAGUUCAGAUACUGGGUUUGUGAGUUGAAAUUAAUCAAAUGAGAGUGGUAAAAAUCCACCUUUAUAUGUAUAAUUUACAUAUCAGGAUUUUAUCCAGGUACGUUAUUCUGGUUUGUGGAAUGCUAAUUUAUACUAAGUUAGAAUAAUCUAAGCUGUAUACCAAAGUAGGUCUUCAUGGGGCUUUACGGCUCUAUGCAUCGUAAAUAGAGAUCGGGUUCAAUGCGUCGGGUGUGGGAUUCACACAAUAUAUGCUGAGCGCGAAAGUUGAUAUUGACAGGCGCCAUAAUGUUAUACCGGUAAACAACAUUUUGAACAUGAAUCGAGAACAGGAGUUGAAUCAGUUGAUGCAGAUAUUCUGAGGAGAAUCUUCCAGUCAUUGAAAUAUAUUUCAUGAUAGUCAUGCAGAUUCAGAAGUUGUGAUGGUGUGUUGAUAGGCUGUCUUCAACUUGCCAUAUCUUAGAGUUCCAACAUGCAGGCCUGGAUUAAUGUGUAUAAAUCACUAAUGAAAAAAAGAAUGACAUUUCGAUUUAUACACACUUGCCAAGUGAAUCUGAUGAGACUGCUACAUGUAUUUGUGAGUAAAGGUACUCUGUCUUAACCAAAAAACUAUUUACAGUUUAUCACAACAAAUGGAUGGGACAGUAGAGCUGUUGCGGACAAUAUGUGAUUGUGAUGACCAAGUACUGAACAAGUGGAAGAUUAGAAGAAGGUCCAGAAUUCAAUCAUGUUUUUUAUUCUAAGGUGCACACAGCAUGGAGAUAGUCCUAUUAUUCUCUCAUUCAUCUAUGAUGGAGAAACUUGUGUAAAUGUUUAGUGUUCUCCCUAAUAAUUAAAUGCCCACAAGUCUGUAUUAAUUUAUCAGAAUAUAAAGUCCUUCACAGUACUGAUUUUAAAAUUAAUGUAGAGUGUCUCCAGAUUUUUCUGAGGAAAAGUGCAUAGUUUACAUGUGUGAAUUUUGAAUAUAUUUCAUUCUUGUCUGCAAAUGUUGCCGAAACCUGUUGUUAUUGAUGCACAGUCAUGUUAUGCAAAUGAUAGACCUUCUUAAUUACAUGUACAGAAGAUCAUGUCAACUCCUUUGUCUUAAUUGUAUACACAAUUCUAGCAUUUAUAGCAUCAUUUAUAUAGCACUUGCUAGUUUAAGAAGGAUUUUAUUUUCUAAAAGCUUUCAUUUGACAUGAUUGAUCUAAAACGGCCAAAAUUCACAAAUCUAUUUAAAUCACAACCUGACCUUAUGUCAGAAAAGUGCCACUGUGGGUUGAUAUUUUUCUCUUGGAUCUUGAAAGAAAUUCUUUAUGCAGCAGUUUCCAAAUAAAAUGUACUCUCAUGGCCAGGGUGGGACUUCACCGAGAACUUUUUAACAUUGCACAAUGCAAUAUUUGUAGAUUAGAAGUUGUUGCAGUUUCUUUAAGUUUUCUCUCACAUCUUGUUAUAAUUAUAUUUUAUAUUUUUGGUUGGGUUGCACAAUGUGCAAACAGUUUAUAAAAUGGUGAAUUACUCAGUGGUGGGCAAGCGACAGUAGCGUCCCUGUAAUAGUACCUACUUUGUGUAAUCAACUCCUUUCACACCUCUGACUUGAUGUUCCUUAAACUUUGUACAGUUGUUAGGGAUACAUUGAAGAUGUGCAUGUGCCUUUUUGAAAGUGAUCAGACAUUUUUUGAAAAAUUUACAUGUAGUUGAACUUCGUCAUUUUUAAGCAUUUCUUUAAUCGACAGUACCUAUUUUGUGUAAUCAACUCCUCGUAUACCUCUAACUUGACAUUCCUCAAACUGUGUACAUUUGUUUUGAACACAUUGGAAAUGUGCAUGUGUGUUUUUGAAAGUGAUCAGACAUUUAAAAAAAAAUGUAUAUGUAGUUGAACUUAGUCAUUUUUAAGCAUUUCUUGAAUAGAUGGUGACUAUUUUGUGUAAUCAAAUCUUCAUGCACCUCUAACUUGACAUUCCUUAAACUUUGUACAGUUGUUAUGAACACAUUGAAGAUGUGCAUGCAUCUUUUUGAAAAUGAUUAGACUUUUUAAAAAAAAAAUUAUGUGUAGUUGAACUUGGUCAUUUUUAUGCAUUUCUUGAAUAGAUGGUACCUAUUUUGUGUGAUCAACUCGUGCACAUCUAAAUUGAUAUUCCUCAAACUUUGUACAGUAGUUAUGGACACAUUGAAGAUGUGCAUGUGUCUUUUUGAAAGUGAUCAGACUUUUUUCAAAAAAAUUACAUUUAGUUGAACUUUGUCAUUUUUUAAGCAUUUCCUGAAUAGAUGGUACUUAUUUUUUGUAAUCAACUCCUCUUACAGCAUUUAUUUGACAUUCUUCAGACCUUGAACAGCUGUUAUGGAAGCAUUGUAAAUGUGCAUGUGUCUUUUCGGAAGUGAUCAGGCAUUCUUUGAAAAAUUUACAUGUGCAUGGUGAAGUUGAACUUAGUCAUUUUUUAAGCAUGGUACUUUAUGUAACCAACUCAGCUUUUACUUAACAUUUUCCAGACCCUGUACAUUAUAGAUGUUUUAAAAACAUUGAAGAUAUUCAUGUAACAUUUUAAAAAUGCUUCUCUUUUUUUUUUUCUCUUUUUUGUUGUUGAAAAAUUCUACCUUUAAUUUGUCAUUUCCCCAGUAUAUGUUUCUACUGUUGUUCCUAUGAUGGAGAACAUAUUUUACAAGAACCCAGUCAUUUUUGUUUUUGAAUAAUUUUUUUUUAAUUAGUAUUUUUGAAUAUGUUAAUUACUUGAUAUGUCAUUGUUCUUGAAAUUAUAUUAAUUGAAUUGUUA
Long non-coding RNA from Ostrea edulis (European flat oyster), 4908 nucleotides. RefSeq lists it as uncharacterized. The record is from RefSeq and is a predicted model, not a curated record. The transcript is spliced from 2 exons. Lineage: Eukaryota; Metazoa; Mollusca; Bivalvia; Ostreida; Ostreidae.